UAAGAUAGAGGUGCGAUUUGUUAAUAGUAGCUCCUUCGUGUUAAGUCCGGCGGGACGAUAGGCGGAGCGAAAGGAACUGUCGCCGAAGACGGCACGCCGGCGGGCGUCCGCUCUGGUAAUUCGGAAUAAUAUCCGUGUUACUGUCGCUUUUGCGGAGAGCUAUCG
This 165-nucleotide non-coding RNA is filed under the name human gut metagenome. RNAcentral describes it as "Lysine riboswitch". It matches the Rfam family "Lysine riboswitch aptamer". Rfam says of the family: Riboswitches are metabolite binding domains within certain messenger RNAs that serve as precision sensors for their corresponding targets. Allosteric rearrangement of mRNA structure is mediated by ligand binding, and this results in modulation of gene expression. This family includes riboswitches that sense lysine in a number of genes involved in lysine metabolism, including lysC. The record is from RNAcentral.